CAGUUUGGGCUUGGGCCUUAAGUUAACCAAACUGCACACGGUAAAUAUAAUGUUUUUUUUUUCUUUCUAAUCAACCAUUAAUGAUAUUAUAAAUUACUGCAGAAAUAUAAUGUUUUUUUUAAAAGUGGUAUACAUAAGCCAGAUUAUGGAGAAGAAAGAACACAAAUAAAUCGGGAAUAAAUUUGGUUUGAAGAGUCAAAAGAGUGAAUUAUUAGUCAUUCACAUGCUUUUAUUUUUGUAAUAUAUAAGAUAUUACCUGAUAUUAUUACUGAAUAGAGGAUAAAUACAAGUGACUUGGUCAGAUAGCAUAUUAUAUGAAAAAAUUUAACUAUAUAAAUAUUUGCGAGGGAUUAAUCUGUUAUAAGAUUCCUUGGUUUUUUCUGUCCACACGCGCCUAAUGAUAUGGCAAUAUAUGCGGAAGAAAACAAAAAAAAAUCAAUAUGCCGGUCGGUCAACAACAAUGUGAAUAUGAUCUGAGGACUUUCUUGGGUCAAUGCAUAUGAUAUUAAUUGAAAACUAAGAUUUUUUAAUCUUCACGUAUAACAUAUACGUUUGCAAGUAUUAUUGGAAAAAAUAGCCGUUUCAACGAUAAAUGGGGGAGAUCGAGAGACCCACCACUCUUUUGCCCCUUGAGAGACGUCAACGGAG
This 648-nucleotide long non-coding RNA is filed under the name Capsella rubella. Its description in RNAcentral is "long non-coding RNA (CRUB_LNC004646)". Lineage: Eukaryota; Viridiplantae; Streptophyta; Magnoliopsida; Brassicales; Brassicaceae. The record is from RNAcentral.